CACCGAGAUAUCUCUGUCCAAUUGAUGACAAUUCCUCAAGUUCUGGUGGAGAAUCUGACCCCUUGCCAAGGGUGUUUAUGGACAGGGAGGGAAAUGAUAUUCCAGUAAUAAGAAGGCAACAACGUAGGGCAAGGCCUAUUAUUGAAAAUGAGUCAAAUGAGGAAGAAGAACUUCAGAAUCCGAAUUUGGAAGAUGAUGCAGAAAUUCAGGUUGAGAAUUACCGUCAAGAUGGAGAGGCAAAUAAUGAGGAGAGAGAAGAAGUGGUACAAGAUUCUGAAAUAGAACAAGUGCUUGUGCAG
Molecule: long non-coding RNA, 299 nt
Organism: Bombina bombina (fire-bellied toad)
Lineage: Eukaryota; Metazoa; Chordata; Amphibia; Anura; Bombinatoridae
Exons: 3
Source: RefSeq, a predicted model, not a curated record